This 591-nucleotide ribosomal RNA is filed under the name Bacillus siamensis. Its description in RNAcentral is "bacterial SSU rRNA". It matches the Rfam family "Bacterial small subunit ribosomal RNA", at positions 173 to 751 of the family's 1533-position model. The record is from RNAcentral. Lineage: Bacteria; Bacillati; Bacillota; Bacilli; Caryophanales; Bacillaceae.
CGUUGUUUGAACCGCAUGGUUCAGACAUAAAAGGUGGCUUCGGCUACCACUUACAGAUGGACCCGCGGCGCAUUAGCUAGUUGGUGAGGUAACGGCUCACCAAGGCGACGAUGCGUAGCCGACCUGAGAGGGUGAUCGGCCACACUGGGACUGAGACACGGCCCAGACUCCUACGGGAGGCAGCAGUAGGGAAUCUUCCGCAAUGGACGAAAGUCUGACGGAGCAACGCCGCGUGAGUGAUGAAGGUUUUCGGAUCGUAAAGCUCUGUUGUUAGGGAAGAACAAGUGCCGUUCAAAUAGGGCGGCACCUUGACGGUACCUAACCAGAAAGCCACGGCUAACUACGUGCCAGCAGCCGCGGUAAUACGUAGGUGGCAAGCGUUGUCCGGAAUUAUUGGGCGUAAAGGGCUCGCAGGCGGUUUCUUAAGUCUGAUGUGAAAGCCCCCGGCUCAACCGGGGAGGGUCAUUGGAAACUGGGGAACUUGAGUGCAGAAGAGGAGAGUGGAAUUCCACGUGUAGCGGUGAAAUGCGUAGAGAUGUGGAGGAACACCAGUGGCGAAGGCGACUCUCUGGUCUGUAACUGACGCUGAGG